This 406-nucleotide ribosomal RNA is filed under the name uncultured bacterium. Its description in RNAcentral is "partial 16S ribosomal RNA". It matches the Rfam family "Bacterial small subunit ribosomal RNA", at positions 30 to 526 of the family's 1533-position model. The record is from RNAcentral.
AUUGAACGCUGGCGGCAGGCCUAACACAUGCAAGUCGAACGAGUGGCGGACGGGUGAGUAAUGUCUGGGAAACUGCCUGAUGGAGGGGGAUAACUACUGGAAAUGGCAGCUAAUACCGCAUACUAUCAGCUGUGCCCAGAUGGGAUUAGCUAGUUGGUGGGGUAACGGCUCACCAAGGCGACGAUCCCUAGCUGGUCUGAGAGGAUGACCGGCCAGACGGGAACUGAGACAGAAUGCAGACUCCUGCGCGAGGCAACAGUGGGGAAUAUUGCGCAAUGGGCGCGAGCCUGAUACAGCCAUGCCGCGUGUAUGAAGAAGGCCUGCGGGUUGUAAAGUACUUUCAGCGGGGAGGCGUUACCCGCAGAAGAAGCACCGGCUAACUCCGUGCCAGCAGCCGCGGUAAUUC